RNAcentral lists this RNase P RNA (366 nucleotides) under Alphaproteobacteria bacterium CG11_big_fil_rev_8_21_14_0_20_39_49. Its description in RNAcentral is "RNase P RNA component class A". It matches the Rfam family "Bacterial RNase P class A". Rfam says of the family: Ribonuclease P (RNase P) is a ubiquitous endoribonuclease, found in archaea, bacteria and eukarya as well as chloroplasts and mitochondria. Its best characterised activity is the generation of mature 5'-ends of tRNAs by cleaving the 5'-leader elements of precursor-tRNAs. The record is from RNAcentral. Lineage: Bacteria; Pseudomonadati; Pseudomonadota; Alphaproteobacteria.
UUAGAUGGUCGGAUGGCUGCUGUGUUUACACAGAGGAAAGUCCGGGCUCCAUGGAAAAACGGUGGUGGGUAACGCCCACCGGAGGUGACUCUAGGGAAAGUGCCACAGAAAAUAACCGCCUUAAUGCUUUUUAUUAAACAUUAGGGUAAGGGUGAAAAGGUGCGGUAAGAGCGCACCGCGUAUAUGGCAACAUCAUACGGCAAAGGUAAACCCCGCCGGGAGCAAGACCAAAUAGGAAUAUCACGUAUUUUUUACAGGUGUUUUCCACACCGGAUAUUCGGGUAGGUUGCUUGAGGCAUUUAGUGAUAAAUGUCCCAGAUGAAUAGCCGUCAAUUACAGAACCCGGCUUACAGACCAUCUAAUACU